This is a long non-coding RNA of Mus musculus (house mouse), 1335 nucleotides long. RefSeq annotates it as predicted gene, 39488. The transcript is spliced from 4 exons. Lineage: Eukaryota; Metazoa; Chordata; Mammalia; Rodentia; Muridae. The record is from RefSeq and is a predicted model, not a curated record.
CUGAUCAUACUGCGCCUGCGUGGGGUGCUACUCCCUAGUUCGAGACCCGGAUCUGCCCCUAGCGCUACCACCCCUCCCCACACACACGCACGCACACCCCACCCCCGCAUUCGCCGCUGCGGUCGUUCUGACUGGCUAUGGCUGCCAGUCUCAAGUCCAGGCUAGUCAUCCUAGGAGACCUACGGAUCCACAUCAGUUGUGUUGUGCAGUGAUUCGAGAACAAAUCAAAGAAGCUAGAUUCCCGAGCUGCUUUUGGCGUUGACGUAACUCGCGCCUGCGGGUGACUAGUUGGAGAUAAACGCUAAUAAUAGACUUUGGCUGGUGGCAGCCAAAAUGAGCGUGAUAGUAAAUGCUGAUAAGUUUCUGAGCUGGUGGCCACUGCGAUGGUAUUCAAGAAGCAUCCCCAAAUGUUAGCUAUUAAUGUUCUGCAGCGGAAAUGGGGACUGGAAGGAGUCUCUACGAGGCAUGGGGAUGGGACCCAGGCACUCAUACACACUAGGCAAGUGCUUUGCCACUGAGCUACACCCCCAAGCCUGGCACAGGAAUUCUUUUACUGCAAAGUCAGUAAACAGGUGAGCAAAUAAUUGGAACAAGCACAUCAUGGAAGAGCGUCUCCCAAUGCCCAAUAGACACGCGAGAGAUCUUCUUCAGUCCUCAUCAAGGAACAGAGAAGUCAAAUUACAAAGGAGGAACUGCACAGAGGACUAGAUUGAUAUUUUGACUGCAGCUUACCUGGUACCCUUGGAAGUCAACAAGAGGGCAUUGGAUCACCCGGGGCUGGAGUUACAAGUGGUUGUAAGUUACCUUGUGGGUGCUAGGAAUUGAACCCAGGUCCUCUGGAAGAGCAGCCACACCUCUGAACUGCUGAGCCAUCUUUCCAGUCCAAUAUUGUACUUUUAAUGAUCAAAUUUUGAGUGUAGGAUGUUUGGCUAAGAGGAAAGUAGUGGUCCAAUCAACUCAUAAGGUUGUUACAGUUUUCCAAGUUCCACUGUAACUUGGAGAACUGUAUUCAGGGUGUUGUAAAGGAUAGAUUCUACCACUAGGUGGAGAAGGGCCAUCGGCUCCUCUCUGAAGGCUUAGUUGAUCUAGGGACAGGUCAAGGGACCUUGGUAAGGUCACCACCCCUAGGGAGGAGGUUCCCCUUAGGACUGUGUACUUUUCCUUCCCAGAAUUCCCACCCUUUAAUUCAGUACCAUGAGGUUCAGAUGGAUCUGCCUGCCUUUCACAUUAACUAUUUCUUUUUCUUUUGAAUGCUGGCUGCAACCCAAAUUUGUUUUUAAACUCCCUUAAUUUAAGUGUUGGGCUUCCUUGCUCUCCUCCCCACCCCAACCCACC